This 334-nucleotide RNase P RNA is filed under the name Allobrachymonas sp. RNAcentral describes it as "RNase P RNA component class A". It matches the Rfam family "Bacterial RNase P class A". Rfam says of the family: Ribonuclease P (RNase P) is a ubiquitous endoribonuclease, found in archaea, bacteria and eukarya as well as chloroplasts and mitochondria. Lineage: Bacteria; Pseudomonadati; Pseudomonadota; Betaproteobacteria; Burkholderiales; Comamonadaceae. The record is from RNAcentral.
GAAGCCUGCUAGGCCGUCGCUGGUGCAAUUGUGGAAACACAGCACUGGAGGAACGUCCGGACUGCACAGGGCAGCGCAGGAGCUAACGGCUCUCCAGUGAAAACCGCAAGGCAUAAGCUGAGGAUCAGAGCAACAGAGACGAGCCAGUUCAGUCUGGGUGAAACGGGCAAUCUCUGCGCGCAGCAAUACCAAAUAGGCACACGAUGAACUGGCUCCGGCGAGUGUGCGGGUAGGUAGCAUUGAGCUGGUGGGGCGACUCCCAGCCCAGAGGAAUGACGGUCACGCUUGGGGCAACCCAAGUGCACAGAAUCCGGCGUAUCGGCAGGCUUCACAC